AGGAGGCGGGGCGGGGCGGGCCGGGCCGCGGCGGCUGCCCCCUGCCGGGCCGCGCUGACAACAGCGCCCCCCGCUGCCGCCCGCCGACACCGGCGCCGCCGGGGGGGCCGAGCGGAGGGCGCCGACCCGGAAAGGCCCGGCGGGCGCAGGGGAGGCCGGGACGGCCAUGAGGGCCGCGCUGGUGGGGUACAGCAGCUCGGAGGAGGAGGACGAGGGGGAGGAAGGAGGGUGCCGGGGCGACGGCGCGCAGGAGCCUCCUCGGGCCAGCCCCGGGCGCCCCCGCCUGCCCGUCCCCGCCGGCCUGCCGGGCGAUCCGGAUCCGGAGGAGGCCGUUAGCGACGACAGCUCCCGUCACGGCGGCCGCAUCCGCGGUUUCCCCCACGAGCGGGGCAGCUGGGCCACCCACGUCUACCUGCCGUAUACAGUGCAGGAGGAAUUCCUGGAGCUGCUGGAGCUGCUGCUGUCCCGCGCCCGCACCUACGUCUCCUCGCUGGCUGCCAUGGAGCAGUUUCACCUCAGCCUCUCGCAGUGCGUGGUGCUGCGGUACCACUGGAUCGACCCCUUUGUCCGCUGCCUCAGGGAGCGUCUGGCCACCUUCCACAGGUUCUUCUGUGUGGCUGACCAGGUGAAGGUUUACACCAACCAGAACAAAACCAGGACCUUUAUUGGCUUGGAGGUCUCCACUGGGCAUUUCCAGCUGCUGGAGCUGGUCUCAGAGGUGGACAGAGUUCUGGAGGAAUUUGACCUUCCCACCUUCUACAAGGAGACUAAGGAUGGUAACUAUCUGGUGGUCUCCUGAGAAUCGGGUUUCUGGGGCGAAGGGCCAGACUGCACAUCACGGUCACUGCCCAAUUGUGCAUGGGAGCAGAGUUGUGCUGGGACAGAACGGGCUUAGGGACCCGUCGUUCCACAUCAGCUUGGCCUGGUGUGUUGGGGACAUGUCUGGCAGGCUGGAAGGGCAGUGUCUGCGGGAGCUCCAGGACAUCGUGGAUGGAUUUGAGGACUCGGCACUCCUGCUGCGUGUCCAAUGGGAGCAAAUUUGCUGCAAGUCGGGGAACAAGUACUUCUCCUUCCCCUUGAGGUAGGGGCCGGUGGGGCUGUGCACUUCAGAGCCUUGAAGACCCUGAUGUUCAACCAAGGACCAUUCUCCAGCACAGCUCUGAGCGAUGUGGGCUGUCACGCACCUUCCACGCUCUUCUUGCCUGCUCAGCAUCUCUGACGUGUUUGUGGCCUCAAGUUGGGCUACUUCCAAGUUUCAGAUUCUGGCUGAAAAAAUGUGUGUCUGUAGCAGAUUUCAUCCUUGCUGCUGUAUGUGCUGCAGUCAGCACUGGUGGUUCCAGCCAUCCCACAGUUGCUGUUUUUGCUGAUUUAAAAAGAAAAAAAGACAAAAAACCUCUAUAAAAGACAUAGAUGCCUUAUGGGAAGGAGGAAGAAGGUAGCGUGGGAAGCUGUUACUGAAGGGAAAGUGUCUCACACAGCUGGAAGUGGCACAGCCUGUUUGUCAGGAGGCUUUGAGCACGCUUUGAGUAGCAAGAGGCAAGGACAUGGAGCUGGACUGUCAUGCCAGAGCAUCUCCCUGCUGUGAGCCAGGCCAAGUUCCUGGGUCAUGUCCUGUGUCCCUCUCAUGCUGCUGCUGCCUCUAUAGGGAAAUACCAGCAUCUGAUCCUUUUGCCAAGCCACGAAAGAUGAAAUCUGGAGGCAAGAAGUUGGAAACCCCUUGUGUUUCUGUCCUCAAGGAUGGGUGUAAAAGAAGAGCUUUGGUUUAAGAUUGUGCAUACCGUAAGCCCAGGACUUUUUUGGUGGGCUGCUUCUCCUGAGAAGCUUGCUGCCGUGCAGGGGACAGCCCAAGAGAGGGCAGUGUCAGCUUUGGCCUGAGCUGGGAAGGCCGUACUCACUGCUGAGUCAAGAGGUGGCAGCUCCUGCUCAGGCUCCAGGUUUUUCCCCAUGGGAACAGAAAUCCGGUGCUGUGAUAGCUCUGGGGAUGGCAGGCUGGACCUUGUCCCUUGGGAGGAGCUCUUUUUUUAAUCCUUUUGUUCCUGCGGGGAGGUCAGCUGCAGCCUCUCGGGUGUCUGGAAUAGGAUGCCGAUGUGCUGUCCUGAAUCUUUUAUUCCACGUCUGUCUGAUGAAAGACUCCAGGACUUCUGAGCAGUAAAAGUCUGUCUCCUCAUGUCAUAAAAA
This is an RNA transcript of Columba livia (rock pigeon), 2178 nucleotides long. The record is from RefSeq and is a predicted model, not a curated record. Lineage: Eukaryota; Metazoa; Chordata; Aves; Columbiformes; Columbidae.